This 720-nucleotide long non-coding RNA is filed under the name Sinocyclocheilus grahami. RNAcentral describes it as "lncRNA (ENSSGRG00000015350.1)". The record is from RNAcentral. Lineage: Eukaryota; Metazoa; Chordata; Actinopteri; Cypriniformes; Cyprinidae.
GGGACAUGUAGGACUGUUAUUGCAGUUGGAGAGAACCGGUUGGACCAUCGAUGUAGUGGAGGUGUUUAUGAAUCACAUGAGUACAGAAUAACAAAAAUAAAUGGGUGUGUCUUCUGCCUACUUUCCCGGUAAUUCAUUCCUCCUCAUUCCUGUGGUUAGUGGAGGAAUGGAGUUUUUGUGAUGUUAAAUAUGCUAUUUAAAGCAGCUUGUGACAGUCAUCCAGAAUCAGAAGCGUCUUGCUCUGUGACUGUCUCUGAUUCUCUGUGAUUACUGAAGACUGUUGUCUACCUCUCUCAGUGUGUUUUAUGGAAAUUAGGAGUAAACAUGAACAAAAGAGAUGAAGACACAAAGCAGUGGAAACAUGGAGCUUGUGAAGAUCGUCAGAUGGAGCAGCUGCAGUGAUAUAAGACCAUUGUUCUCUGCUGAUCCACACACACCUGUGAAGAGCUGCUCUCAUCAAUCACACAAGAUCACACAUGAUCACAGCACAUUAAAGUCUCUUCUGGACACUCCAGCUCCUGACAGCAUCGAUUCAUUCACAUUUCAUUCAUUUAGCAGACGCUUUUGUCCAAAGCAACGUUUGGCCAAACAAAUGAGAAACACUGGAAGCAAUUCCAUGAGAUAAGAACUUAAUUCAAUAUUUUUAUAGCACUGUGCACUUGCUGUUUUCUAUAAUAAUAAUAUAUAUAAUUUUAAAUGAGGGUUUUACAUUUCUAUGGG